Molecule: non-coding RNA, 2326 nt
Organism: Saimiri boliviensis boliviensis (Bolivian squirrel monkey)
Lineage: Eukaryota; Metazoa; Chordata; Mammalia; Primates; Cebidae
Source: RefSeq, a predicted model, not a curated record
UCGGGGAGGGGGAGCGCCAGGGAGGUGGAGCCCCAGCCGCAGCACCGGGAGGGGCCGGGAGAGGAACCUUGGCGGCCGCAGGGGACACCCGAGAAACCACCGCGCGGCGCUCGGUUCCGAGCGGGGCAGCUCCGAGGGCCGCACACAGCGGGCCUGCGGGUAAAACCGCUGGGUUUUGAAACAGCGGAGGACCAGAGCGGUGUCGUCCCGGAUCGGGUUGGGGCGGGACUCGAUGUGCGAACCUGGAACCCACCAUGGGGCUCCUCUGCCAUCGUGCCGUGGGCUCUGGUGUGACCCUAACAAACCUCUCCUCACUCUCCCAUGCGAAGCUCAAAAAAUAGAGAGAGAGAGAACAUAAGAUCCGACCUGUCUUGAGAUUUCCACACCCUCAGCGCGUCUCAGUCACCACAAACCACCUUACAACUCACCGCUCCCACAUGCUGCCCGUCUCUGCGGAGAAGGAGGUGGCACUGAGCGAAACUCAGACGCUAUUGUCAUCUUCGUCGUUGGCAGACACUGAGCGAGCCUUCGCCUUGAUUACGUCUCAUCAGCUUGUUGCCUUUCAGGUUCAUGGAUGCCUUCUCCAAUUACAGAGAUGAACUUGGUUUUGCAAAACUUAAAAUUUAAUCUGAGAUUAAACGCACGCCGCAUCAGUGACACGCUGUGUUUCCUGCUGCGGGCUGAGAAAGAUACACCAAGUCAGCCUGCGUUUGGGAAGUCCGGCCCUCAGCGUUCCCUUCUCUAGACAGUUACGCCACGGAUAGAUGAAUUUAGGCUGUGUAAAGACAUUUGUUACAGCACUGUUUCAAGUAACAAAAGUCUGGGGAACACCUGGAGACCCUUCCGCAGAAAGUGGGUGAAAUACGGCACCAUUGAAGAGCGAAGUCGCUCUACUUGCGCCGAUGUGGAACAAUCUCCAAAUAUCACUAUGAAAAAAGCAACUUGGGCAAAUUCAUGUAUAAAAGCAAGGAAUAAACACAAGACUGGUAGUAGACAGCAGGCACUUUGGCACAUCCUGUACACCAGGGGCCUCCUUCCAGGUGGUUGUACCCGAGGAUUAGAAGAGUUCACCUGGGAGAUACACAGAUAUGGACUCCUGGGAUACUCCAAAAUCUGCAGGUCCAGUAAAGAGAGAGAAUCCAGAAGAGGAAGCUACAAAAGUAUGUCCUCUUUUUUGGGGGAAACCGGAAGGGUGCAGUGGUAGGUGCCAAGAGAAGAAAGGAUGAGGAGAACAGAAGCCAACUCUAUUGAAUGUCCUGGAAGGUCAUACCUGAAAAGAACUAAGAUACGAUGACAGGAUUGGAAGUGUAGAGCUCAUUGCUUUACCAAGAGCAGUCUUCAAGUACUGGCUCACAGAAGAGUAUAAAAUAAAGAAAUGGAGACCAGCACUAUAAGAAAUUCUCAAUAAAAAUUUCCAUGCAUAAAAACAGGAUAGUAACUGUGGGAGGCUGUGAGGACAGGUUGGUUCGUUUGUUGAAGUUAGGGAAUACACUAGACUUAGGAAUAGUUGUCAAAGGUGAAGAAGAAACAUCCUUGCCAAGGGACAUUUGGAAAUACGUGGAGUUACUUUUGAGUUGCUGCAAUUACCAGGGCAUGCUCCCAACACUUACUGGGCUGCAGGUGGAGCUGAACAUCCCAUGGAGCUCAGGGCAUUCUCUCAUGAGGAGGAAUGCCUGCCUCCUGUGCAUCGAGUCCAUUUAUAUGCUGAUAUUAAUGGUCUAUAUCGGACCAUGAUUUUCUUUGGCUCUCCCAGCAAAAAUGUCUAAAGUCAUCACUUGAUGUUUUUGCCAUCCAAAAGGACUUCACCAAACCUUCAAGAGUUCUGGAUAUGUCUUUGAUUAUUCCACCUUACAUCACUUGUAUUCUGCAGAAUCAAUCACUGGAACCAGGAGAAUGCCAGGCACAGAUUGGUUGACAUCAUCCCUGAACCAAUCAAUCAUUUGACCAAUGACAAGGAGGAUGGGGGCAUGCUGAUUAAUCACACAGCUGUUCUCCGUGCAGGAGGAGUGGAAUGGUUGCUUGGGGAGCAGCCAGAAUCAUUUAAGAAUCAUUAAUUAUUGAUAUUGUCUACUAUAUUUAUGACUCAAAAGGUUAUACCCUUGUCAGACUUGGUAAAUAAAAUGGUCUUGAAAGAAAUAUAUAAGGACCCAUCCACCAAUAACCCCUUCCCCUCCUCCCUCCUAGUCACUGCCUUAGUCUCUGGGACUUCUGAGUCCUGAUUAGGGAUAUCACAAAAAAUGAAUGUGGAUAUGUCUCGUUAUGUUUUUUUCUGAUCAGUGCAUUAUGGCGUUGAUUGAUAAUACACAUGAUUGAUAAUGUUCACUGA